AUUGAACGCUGGCGGCAGGCCUAACACAUGCAAGUCGAACGAGUUGCGGACGGGUGUGUAAUGUCGGGGAAACUGCCUGAUGGAGGGGGAUAACUCCUAGACACGGUAGCUAAUACCGUAUACUCUGAGAUGCGCCCAGAUGGGAUAAGCUUGUUGGUGGGGUAACGGCUCACCAAUGCGACGAUCCCUAGCUGGUCUGAGAGGAUGACGUGCCACCCUGAAACUGUGACACUGUCCAGACUCCAACGGAAGGCAGCAGUGGGGAAUAUUGCGCAAUAGGCGCAAGCCUGUUGCAGCAGUGCCGCGUGUAUGAGGAAGGCCUUCGGGUUGUAAAGUACUUUCAGCGGGGAGGCGUUACCCGCAGAAAAAGCACCGGGUAACUCCGUGCCAGCCGCCGCGGUAAUUC
RNAcentral lists this ribosomal RNA (406 nucleotides) under uncultured bacterium. RNAcentral describes it as "partial 16S ribosomal RNA". It matches the Rfam family "Bacterial small subunit ribosomal RNA", at positions 30 to 526 of the family's 1533-position model. The record is from RNAcentral.